RNAcentral lists this ribosomal RNA (439 nucleotides) under uncultured bacterium. Its description in RNAcentral is "partial 16S ribosomal RNA". It matches the Rfam family "Bacterial small subunit ribosomal RNA", at positions 339 to 795 of the family's 1533-position model. The record is from RNAcentral.
CUACGGGAUGCUGCAGUGAGGAAUAUUGCACAAUGGGGGGAACCCUGAUGCAGCAACGCCGCGUGGAGGAUGACGCAUUUCGGUGUGUAAACUCCUUUUAUAUGUCAAGAAAAUGACGGUAGCAUAUGAAUAAGCACCCGCUAACUCCGUGCCAGCAGCCGCGGUAAUACGGAGGGUGCAAGCGUUAGGCGGAAUCACUGGGCGUAAAGGACGCGUAGGCGGGUUGGAAAGUCAGGUGUGAAAUCCUACAGCUUAACUGUAGAACUGCACUUGAAACUUCUAAUCUAGAGUAUGGGAGGGGGAGAUGGAAUUAGUGGUGUAGGGGUAAAAUCCGUAGAUAUCACUAGGAAUACCUAAAGCGAAGGCGAUCUCCUGGAACAUUACUGACGCUAAGGCGUGAAAGCGUGGGGAGCAAACAGGAUUAGAUACCCUCGUAGUC